GACGAACGCUGGCGGCGUGCCUAACACAUGCAAGUCGAGCGGAGACAGUGAGUAGCUUGCUACGAGCUGUUUUAGCGGCGGACGGGUGAGUAACGCGUGAGCAACCUUUCCCAGACGGGGGAAUAACACACCGAAAGGUGUACUAAUACCGCAUAAGACCACGGGAUCACAUGGUUCUGGGGUAAAAGAAUUAUCGGUUUGGGGUGGGCUCUCGUCCGAUUAGGUAGUUGGUGAGGUAACGGCCGACCAAGCCGACGAUCGGUAGCCGACCUGAGAGGGUGAUCGGCCACAUUGGGACUGAGACACGGCCCAAACUCCUACGGGAGGCAGCAGUGGGGAAUAUUGGGCAAUGGAGGAAACUCUGACCCAGCAACGCCGCGUGGAGGAAGAAGGUUUUCGGAUCGUAAACUCCUGUCCUUGGAGACGAGUAGAAGACGGUAUCCAAGGAGGAAGCCCCGGCUAACUACGUGCCAGCCGCCGCCGUAA
RNAcentral lists this ribosomal RNA (486 nucleotides) under uncultured bacterium. Its description in RNAcentral is "partial 16S ribosomal RNA". It matches the Rfam family "Bacterial small subunit ribosomal RNA", at positions 28 to 523 of the family's 1533-position model. The record is from RNAcentral.